This is a long non-coding RNA of Equus caballus (horse), 637 nucleotides long. RefSeq lists it as uncharacterized. NCBI's taxonomy places the organism in Eukaryota, Metazoa, Chordata, Mammalia, Perissodactyla, Equidae. The record is from RefSeq and is a predicted model, not a curated record.
UGCAUCCUGAAUGUUUGUUUUCAUUUCAUUUUCAGCCAAGACACUGGACAUUGAUUUCCUCUUGCAUUUUAUUUGAAGUGAAUUCACGAUGGUGGAUGGGAAAACUAGAGCCAGAAAUCUUUGCCCUGAGCACAAACCAAAGCAAAAUCAAAGCCUUUCUGAGAGUACACUUCACAAAAUAUUUCUUAUGAAUGAUGGAGAAAAAACAGAAGCUUGGACACAGGGCCUGCUUUGUAUAAAGGAAUGCUUCACUUGAUACAGCAUCUCAAGGAAAGAGACAAAUGACUUUCUCAAAGUCACUCAACUGUAUUUUAAUAAGGAUUUCAAUCUGUUUCCUGUUUUCAAGUCAAACCAUCUCUAGCAACUUUGGCUACGUUAAUGAACUAUCAUUUAUUAUCAUUUUCUUCUGGGAACCAGUUUGGUAGCUUCAAUAUUAUUAGAUUUGGAAAUCUAACAAAUGUAUUCUAGGUAGAAAACAUACAUACGGCUUAAACAAGGAUGGUAGCCGCAUGCAAAGGCAAAGAAAAUGGAACAGGGAAAUCUUAAACAUGUCUUCAAGAAGAUGAAAUUCAGAAAACAGACUCUGGGAAUCCUUGACUAGCAGAAGUCUGUCUGUCCCGCUCAGCUGGAGGUUUCA